This 72-nucleotide transfer RNA is filed under the name Dipodomys ordii (Ord's kangaroo rat). It matches the Rfam family "tRNA". Rfam says of the family: Transfer RNA (tRNA) molecules are approximately 80 nucleotides in length. Their secondary structure includes four short double-helical elements and three loops (D, anti-codon, and T loops). Further hydrogen bonds mediate the characteristic L-shaped molecular structure. tRNAs have two regions of fundamental functional importance: the anti-codon, which is responsible for specific mRNA codon recognition, and the 3' end, to which the tRNAs corresponding amino acid is attached (by aminoacyl-tRNA synthetases). tRNAs cope with the degeneracy of the genetic code in two manners: having more than one tRNA (with a specific anti-codon) for a particular amino acid; and 'wobble' base-pairing, i.e. permitting non-standard base-pairing at the 3rd anti-codon position. Lineage: Eukaryota; Metazoa; Chordata; Mammalia; Rodentia; Heteromyidae. The record is from Rfam by way of RNAcentral.
UGGGAUGUAGCUCAGUGGCAAAGCGCUUGCCUAGUAAAUGCAAUGUCCUGGGUUCGAUCCCCAGUACCCCCA